GGUAUCACCUCAGUAACGGCGAGUGAAGCGGUAACAGCUCAAAUUUGAAAUCUGCCGCAAGGCCGAGUUGUAAUUUGUAGAAGAUGCUUUGGGUAUGGCCCCGGUCUAAGUUCGUUGGAACACGACGUCAUAGAGGGUGAGAAUCCCGUAUGUGACUGGGUGCUUUUGCCUAUGUAAAGCUCUUUCGACGAGUCGAGUUGUUUGGGAAUGCAGCUCAAAAUGGGUGGUAUAUUUCAUCUAAAGCUAAAUAUUGGCCAGAGACCGAUAGCGCACAAGUAGAGUGAUCGAAAGAUGAAAAGCACUUUGGAAAGAGAGUUAAACAGUACGUGAAAUUGUUGAAAGGGAAGCGCUUGCAACCAGACUUGCACGCUGUUGAUCAUCCAGGCUUCUGUCUGGUGCACUCGGCAGCGUUCAGGCCAGCAUCGGUUUUGGUGGUGGGAUAAAGGCCUUGGGAAUGUAGCUUCUUUCGGGGAGUGUUAUAGCCCUCGGUGCAAUGCCGCCUACCGGGACCGAGGACCGCGCUUCGGCUAGGAUGCUGGCGUAAUGGUUGUAAGCGACCCGUCUUGAAACACGGACCAAGGAGUCUAACAUCUAUGCGAGUGUUUGGGUGUCAAACCCAUACGCGUAAUUAACGUGAACGGAGGUGAGAACCCUUAAGGGUGCAUCAUCGACCGAUCCUGAUGUCUUCGGAUGGAUUUGAGUAAGAGCAUAGCUGUUGGGACCCGAAAGAUGGUGAACUAUGCCUGAAUAGGUGAACCAGAGAAACUCUGGUGGAGCUCGCAGCGGUUCUGACCUGCAAUCGAUCGCAAUUUGGGUAUAGGGGCGAAAGACUAAUCGAACCUCUAU
RNAcentral lists this ribosomal RNA (846 nucleotides) under Lemonniera sp. CCM F-19299. RNAcentral describes it as "eukaryotic LSU rRNA". It matches the Rfam family "Eukaryotic large subunit ribosomal RNA", at positions 71 to 947 of the family's 3401-position model. The record is from RNAcentral. Lineage: Eukaryota; Fungi; Ascomycota; Leotiomycetes; Helotiales; Discinellaceae.